GGCCGCCUGGCGUAAUGGCAACGCGUCUGACUACGAUUUCGUAAUCAGGAGAUUGCAGGUUCGACCCCUGCGGUGGUCA
This 79-nucleotide transfer RNA is filed under the name Schizophyllum commune. Its description in RNAcentral is "tRNA-Arg". It matches the Rfam family "tRNA". Rfam says of the family: Transfer RNA (tRNA) molecules are approximately 80 nucleotides in length. Their secondary structure includes four short double-helical elements and three loops (D, anti-codon, and T loops). Further hydrogen bonds mediate the characteristic L-shaped molecular structure. tRNAs have two regions of fundamental functional importance: the anti-codon, which is responsible for specific mRNA codon recognition, and the 3' end, to which the tRNAs corresponding amino acid is attached (by aminoacyl-tRNA synthetases). tRNAs cope with the degeneracy of the genetic code in two manners: having more than one tRNA (with a specific anti-codon) for a particular amino acid; and 'wobble' base-pairing, i.e. permitting non-standard base-pairing at the 3rd anti-codon position. RNAcentral also lists the same sequence under 1 other name. Lineage: Eukaryota; Fungi; Basidiomycota; Agaricomycetes; Agaricales; Schizophyllaceae. The record is from RNAcentral.